RNAcentral lists this ribosomal RNA (433 nucleotides) under uncultured bacterium. RNAcentral describes it as "partial 16S ribosomal RNA". It matches the Rfam family "Bacterial small subunit ribosomal RNA", at positions 29 to 507 of the family's 1533-position model. The record is from RNAcentral.
AACGAACGCUGGCGGCGUGCCUAACACAUGCAAGUCGAACGAAAAGUUCGGGUCUAGUGGCGCACGGGGGCGUAACGCGUGGGAACCGGCACUUAGGUUCGGAAUAACUCUCCGAAAGGGGUGAUAAUACGGGAUAAGGUCUUCGGACGCAAGAUUUAUCGCCUUUGGUUGGGCCCGCGUGGGAUUCGGUGGUUGUUAGGGUAAAAGCUCACUAAGGCGACGAUCAAUAGCUGGGCUGAGAGAAUGAUCACCCACACUGGGAGUGAGACACGGCCCAGACUCCUACGGGAGGCAGCAGUGGGGAAUAUAGCACCGCGGGCGAAAGGCUGAUCCUGCACUGCCGGGUGAGUGCUGUAGGCCUUAGGGAUGUAAUGCUCUUUUACCCGGGCUGGUCAUGACAGUACCGGGAGAAUAAGCUCCGGCUAACUACGUG